This 20-nucleotide unclassified non-coding RNA is filed under the name Chlamydomonas reinhardtii. Its description in RNAcentral is "small RNA Cre_2405". Lineage: Eukaryota; Viridiplantae; Chlorophyta; Chlorophyceae; Chlamydomonadales; Chlamydomonadaceae. The record is from RNAcentral.
UAUGUGAGUAAUGUGCGUCA